GUUUACCAAAAACAUGGCUUCUUGUUCUAAAAUAAAUAAGGAGUCGGACCUGCCCAGUGAAUUUUUUUUUAACGGCCGCGGUACUCUGACCGUGCAAAGGUAGCAUAAUCAUUUGCCUUAUAAUUAAAGGCUAGUAUGAAUGGUUUGACAAGAAUAUAGCUGUCUCUUUAUAAUUUCAUAGAAUUUUAUUUUAAGGUGAAGAAGCUUUAAUUCAAUUAAAAGACAAGAAGACCCUAUCGAGCUUGAAAAAAAUUUUUAGAAACUAAUUAAUAAAAGACCUUAAAAAAUUGGCUAAAGAACAUUUUAGUUGGGGCGACUGAGGAACAAACAAAGCUUCCUCUUACAAGAAUUACAUUCAGGUAUUGACCCAAAAUAUUUGAUCAAAGGAAUUAGUUACCGUAGGGAUAACAGCAUUAUCUUUUUUAAGAGCUCUUAUCGAAAAAAAGGUUUGUGACCUCGAUGUUGGACCAGAAUAUCCUAAAGAUGCAGAAGUCUUUAAGGGUUGGUCUGUUCGACCAUUAAA
RNAcentral lists this ribosomal RNA (523 nucleotides) under Turris normandavidsoni. RNAcentral's name for it is "partial 16S ribosomal RNA". It matches the Rfam family "Bacterial large subunit ribosomal RNA", at positions 1802 to 2592 of the family's 2925-position model. Lineage: Eukaryota; Metazoa; Mollusca; Gastropoda; Neogastropoda; Turridae. The record is from RNAcentral.